UACGAGGGGGGCGAGCGUUGUUCGGAAUUAUUGGGCGUAAAGGGCGCGUAGGCGGCCUUGUAAGUCAAAGGUGAAAUCCCUCGGCUCAACUGAGGAACUGCCUUUGAAACUGCAAGGCUUGAGGCCGGGAGGGGGUAGCGGAAUUCCCAAUGUAGCGGUGAAAUGCGUAGAUAUUGGGAGGAACACCAGUGCGAAGGCGGCUACCUGGACCGGUUCUGACGCUGAGGCGCGAAAGCGUGGGUAGCAAACAGG
Molecule: ribosomal RNA, 252 nt
Filed under: uncultured bacterium
Lineage: Bacteria
Description: partial 16S ribosomal RNA
Rfam family: Bacterial small subunit ribosomal RNA
Source: RNAcentral